AUUAAACGCAUUCCAAGUUUCCAACAACAAAAAAUGCAAGAGUUGUGCAGCACAUUGAAGAUACAAUUUUUCACAUACGACAAAAUGUAAAAGAAAGCACAGUGGCCAAAGGUUGAGGGUUAAAGCAAAAAACUCAGGCACGCAGCAAGGUUGAGGUGACGACAAUGAAAGGAUUUUAGGGUUUUUAGGUUUCACUUUCUCUUUAUGCAUAUAUUACUAUUUGUUUUUAUAUCAUAUAGAU
Molecule: long non-coding RNA, 241 nt
Filed under: Trifolium pratense (red clover)
Lineage: Eukaryota; Viridiplantae; Streptophyta; Magnoliopsida; Fabales; Fabaceae
Description: long non-coding RNA (TPRA_LNC008956)
Source: RNAcentral